This 1675-nucleotide long non-coding RNA is filed under the name Neodiprion pinetum (white pine sawfly). Its description in RNAcentral is "uncharacterized LOC124224928, transcript variant X1". The record is from RNAcentral. Lineage: Eukaryota; Metazoa; Arthropoda; Insecta; Hymenoptera; Diprionidae.
UUCAUCAUUCAACUGUAAAUCAGUUUUACCUCCCCACUGGUCUUUUACAAUCGAUCGUCUACCCAUACAGACAUUUUUUACUACCCAAGUUAUACGUAAUUUUCGCAUACAGACAGAUAAAUUUUGGUGCCGAACUGUAAAUUCAGCAUUUGGGUAUGCGUUUUGGCUAAACGUACCCAAAGUGGUAAAAUUAUCUAUCUGCAUCACCGAUAAAAUAAUGUGUGCGACGCGCAUACCGACUGAAAUUCGGCAAAACUUAGGCGUUCGCGAACGAUCUUUUCGGUAGAUAAAUUAAAUGGAUGUGAUUUUCGUUACGAAAUUUACAGCAGUUGUAUUCUGGCAACAUAAUAAUUCAGAUUCAAGUUUAGUUUCAAGUGAGAAUGUGAAAAAUUUUCUGUGACCACCCAAGUUAUGCUGAGUUUUGCGUAGUCUGAGAUGGCGCUUCCAUCGCAGACGGGAGAUACGCAAGAAGCGUUUAGACACGCUUCCGCGUUGUGUGUGCGGUUAAGUAGGUGGAGUGGAUCAAGUGGAAUUUUUUGCAUUUUUCAUCAGAGAAUAAAGGUUCGUGGGCAAGAAUACGGAUCCAUCUGGCGAAAUGAGUUUUGCGAUUGUCUCAUCGGACCGCACCCUCUGAUUGAGUGAAAUCAUUUUACUAUGAUUUAUUGAAGGACCUUAGUUGCCAUGCUAUGCCGACAAUGAUUCGUAAUCUUGCACGUUGCACUUCCUUUGAACCGUUCCAGCUUACUGCGCUGACCAUUGACUCUUAUCUUUCAAACCACGCCUUCGUUUAAGCCAAAUAUCCAUGAUUUUCUGAAAGCUUCUGUUUCGAUCAGACUUAAGCUAACUAUGCUAAGCCACAACUCAUCUUCUGCUUGAAUGACUCACAAGCACGUACCAUCUCUCCGGCUCAUCAAUUUGAACAGGACUUUUAUGAGGUAUAGAAUACCUGUAUGAUAACCAAAAUACAUUAUCGAAGGCUAUGCGAUAGUCAAAAUAAUGAAAGUGCAAGAGAAUGGUAAAAUAGCAAAUCAAGAAGUUGGUGGCCUGCUUGAAUUCUUCCAAAGGGCUAUCUACGACAUCAAGGGAGAUGAAACUACAAAGAGUAGUAGCAGGGUGGAAAGAAGAAAGUCAGCAAAAGGAGUGUUGUUCAAAAAUCCACCAAUGAUUUCUCCACAAUUCAAAACGUUAAUGCGGGAUUUUGAUAAUUAUCGGAGCUUGUGGGGUAUUUAGAUUAUAGGGUAUUUUGAGCAUAUAAAUGUAUAUACUCAACAACUACCAAAUAAAUAUAGCAUUCAUAUAGUUUACGUCCUAGGUUAAGCAUGUAAAUCUGUACCUAAACACUACCGAAGAAAAAUAUCAUAAGUUUGAAAUAAAUGUAUCAUUUGCUAUCACUAAUUCAUUUCUAAUGCCAUAAAUUUGUUGAUGCGGGUAGUUCAAAUCACCUAUCACGCAGAUUGAAUUUACCUACACGGGUUGUAAAAUCCACUCUGUUCACCUCGGAGUUAUUUUUACCCUUCAACGAGGAUAAUCUUGAUUUAUGUCCCCACAUACUACGUAAAUUUAUCGACCCAAAAAAAAAAUAAAACUACAUACCCAUGGGUAGGCAUAUUUCUCUACCCAGACUAGGUAACAAGGCGUUGCACCACCCACACGGGUAAAUUUACCCUCAAAAUUU